CCCAGCACCGAAGCCUGUGGCCAUUUGGUUACUAGGCAAUGUGGUGUUCAGGUCGUUCCGCGGAGGUUCUGCUCCAUCCUAAGUCCAUCAAUGAGUACGGUAUUAUGGACAUGGCCCAUAGAGGGUGAAAGGCCCGUGGGGGUGGAGAUUCGGUAGGCCAGAACUUCCCUGGGUAGACCUUGGAGUCGGGUUGUUUGUGAAUGCAGCCCAAAGUGGGUGGUAAACUCCAUCCAAGGCUAAAUACUUGCACGAGUCCGAUAGCGAACAAGUACCGUGAGGGAAAGUUGAAAAGUACUUUGAAGAGAGAGUAAACAGUGCGUGAAACCGCUCAGAGGUAAACGGGUGGAGUUGAACUGCAAGCUCUGGGAAUUCAACUGGUGAGUGUGGUUUGAGCUUGGUCAUAUUGGUGGACGUCGGGGUCUGCGUAGAAGCAGGUCUUCGCCUUCGGGUGGGGAUGCGCGAUGCACUUAUCAAGUGUUGUGCGCCUCGGUUGUUCCCGGCCAACUCGCUAGUGCACUUUCUCAGAGUGGUCACCACGACCGACGCCGCUGUCUGGCCGCUGUGGUUAAACCGAGUUUGCAUAGUCCGAGUGGCUUUGCUUGGUCGGGAUGGCAGGUAGCUCGUUGACUUGCUUGUGGUUCGCCGCGAGCGUGGUUUUCGAGUAUAAUCCGCUGACCGUAGUGGUUCUGUGCAGUGUGUCGGGGACGGCGGCUCGAGGUGUGUGCAUGCGUUGCUGUUUUGCUGACUGGUCCGAGUUUGGUUAUUUUGUAGCCUGUUCAAUCAGGUCUGGUAGUAGCUCGGAUUUGUUCGGCUGGCGGUGGCGUGUGUGGCAUUGUUCCAAGGGCCAACAGUCUGUGGUGUAGUGGU
This 867-nucleotide ribosomal RNA is filed under the name Haematoloechus floedae. RNAcentral's name for it is "partial 28S large subunit ribosomal RNA". It matches the Rfam family "Eukaryotic large subunit ribosomal RNA", at positions 108 to 629 of the family's 3401-position model. The record is from RNAcentral. Lineage: Eukaryota; Metazoa; Platyhelminthes; Trematoda; Plagiorchiida; Haematoloechidae.